RNAcentral lists this unclassified non-coding RNA (290 nucleotides) under uncultured fungus. RNAcentral describes it as "sequence contains ITS1". Lineage: Eukaryota; Fungi. The record is from RNAcentral.
GUAUAUUUCACAUAAUAAGACAUUCUAAACUCGUUUGAGAGGUUGUGGAAAAUGACAUAGACCUGGAAGGCAAAAAGGCAAAGCCGGCCUUUCAAAGAAAAGCAACAGCAGUCCCUACUCGAAUGAGAACAUUCAUAAAAGGCCUUUCCAGGAUCUACAAAAUGUGCACAGUUGGAGAAAUAAUAAAGAUGAGACAAGCGUGCACACACCCCCCCCAAGAGAGGGGCCAGCAACAGCCUGUUCAAGUUUAUAAUACGAUAAUGAUCCUUCCGCAGGUUCACCUACGGAAA